CAGGCCUAACACAUGCAAGUCGAACGGUAGCACAGAGAGCUUGCUCUCGGGUGACGAGUGGCGGACGGGUGAGUAAUGUCUGGGAAACUGCCCGAUGGAGGGGGAUAACUACUGGAAACGGUAGCUAAUACCGCAUAACGUCUUCGGACCAAAGUGGGGGACCUUCGGGCCUCACACCAUCGGAUGUGCCCAGAUGGGAUUAGCUAGUAGGUGGGGUAAUGGCUCACCUAGGCGACGAUCCCUAGCUGGUCUGAGAGGAUGACCAGCCACACUGGAACUGAGACACGGUCCAGACUCCUACGGGAGGCAGCAGUGGGGAAUAUUGCACAAUGGGCGCAAGCCUGAUGCAGCCAUGCCGCGUGUGUGAAGAAGGCCUUCGGGUUGUAAAGCACUUUCAGCGAGGAGGAAGGCAUUAAGGUUAAUAACCUUGGUGAUUGACGUUACUCGCAGAAGAAGCACCGGCUAACUCCGUGCCAGCAGCCGCGGUAAU
RNAcentral lists this ribosomal RNA (490 nucleotides) under uncultured bacterium. Its description in RNAcentral is "bacterial SSU rRNA". It matches the Rfam family "Bacterial small subunit ribosomal RNA", at positions 43 to 524 of the family's 1533-position model. The record is from RNAcentral.